Molecule: transfer RNA, 75 nt
Filed under: Nitratireductor sp.
Lineage: Bacteria; Pseudomonadati; Pseudomonadota; Alphaproteobacteria; Hyphomicrobiales; Phyllobacteriaceae
Description: tRNA-Thr
Rfam family: tRNA
About the family: Transfer RNA (tRNA) molecules are approximately 80 nucleotides in length. Their secondary structure includes four short double-helical elements and three loops (D, anti-codon, and T loops).
Source: RNAcentral
GCUGCGGUAGCUCAGUGGUAGAGCACUCCCUUGGUAAGGGAGAGGGCGAGAGUUCAAUCCUCUCUCGCAGCACCA